This 660-nucleotide ribosomal RNA is filed under the name Roseovarius sp. RNAcentral's name for it is "bacterial SSU rRNA". It matches the Rfam family "Bacterial small subunit ribosomal RNA", at positions 34 to 744 of the family's 1533-position model. Lineage: Bacteria; Pseudomonadati; Pseudomonadota; Alphaproteobacteria; Rhodobacterales; Roseobacteraceae. The record is from RNAcentral.
GGCCAGGGCGGCAGCUACACAUGCAGUCGAGCGAACCUUCGGGUUAGCGGCGGACGGGUGAGUAACGCGUGGGAACGUACCCUCUUCUGCGGGAUAGCCACUGGAAACGGUGAGUAAUACCGCAUACGCCCUUCGGGGGAAAGAUUUAUCGGAGGAGGAUCGGCCCGCGUUGGAUUAGGUAGUUGGUGGGGUAAUGGCCUACCAAGCCUACGAUCCAUAGCUGGUUUUAGAGGAUGAUCAGCCACACUGGGACUGAGACACGGCCCAGACUCCUACGGGAGGCAGCAGUGGGGAAUCUUAGACAAUGGGCGCAAGCCUGAUCUAGCCAUGCCGCGUGAGUGACGAAGGCCUUAGGGUCGUAAAGCUCUUUCGCCAGAGAUGAUAAUGACAGUAUCUGGUAAAGAAACCCCGGCUAACUCCGUGCCAGCAGCCGCGGUAAUACGGAGGGGGUUAGCGUUGUUCGGAAUUACUGGGCGUAAAGCGCACGUAGGCGGAUUGGAAAGUUGGGGGUGAAAUCCCAGGGCUCAACCCUGGAACUGCCUCCAAAACUCCCAGUCUGGAGUUCGAGAGAGGUGAGUGGAAUUCCGAGUGUAGAGGUGAAAUUCGUAGAUAUUCGGAGGAACACCAGUGGCGAAGGCGGCUCACUGGCUCGAUACUGAC